AUUCCACAGUGUACUGACACAGCAGCCGCGGAGAACAAGCGAAAGAUUCUGCCAGUGCCCUUAAACGGACGCCUCCAAUCUGUACAAUAGGACUGCAAGGAUGAUAAAGCAAGAAGACCCUAGCACCUUGGUUUUGAACUUCUAUUCUGCACAACAAUACAGAGAAGUUGUUGCCACACAUUUCCAGCAGUGUCAAGUACACAGACAAGAAAACAAGCUGUGCAGCUUCUGGAGAGCCUUGCCUAUAUGUUCCUCCCAAAGGGGUUUAUUCAUAAGUCUGUGCAAGAGGGACGGUUCAGGAGUUAACAAGGCAUAGUAUUCUUUCACCAGUUCAGUUCCCAGCAACCGUGUGGGGGAGGCUCAC
Long non-coding RNA from Peromyscus californicus insignis, 364 nucleotides. RefSeq lists it as uncharacterized. The record is from RefSeq and is a predicted model, not a curated record. The transcript has 3 exons. Lineage: Eukaryota; Metazoa; Chordata; Mammalia; Rodentia; Cricetidae.